UACGUAGGGGGCAAGCGUUGUCCGGGAUUAUUGGGCGUAAAGCGCGCGCAGGCGGUUAAUUAAGUCAGAUGUGAAAGGCUACGGCUCAACCGUAGAGUUGCAUUUGAAACUGGUUAACUUGAGUGCAGGAGAGGUAUGUGGAAUUCCCGGUGUAUCGGUGGAAUGCGUAGAGAUCGGGAGGAACACCAGUGGCGAAGGCGGCUUACUGGCCUGCAACUGACGCUGAGGCGCGAAGGCGUGGGGAGCGAACAGG
RNAcentral lists this ribosomal RNA (253 nucleotides) under uncultured bacterium. Its description in RNAcentral is "partial 16S ribosomal RNA". It matches the Rfam family "Bacterial small subunit ribosomal RNA", at positions 524 to 776 of the family's 1533-position model. The record is from RNAcentral.